UAUCUGUUCCCGGACCACUCCUGGCUGAAGGUCGUGUCUAUUUUAAAGACUGCUCGG
Molecule: ribosomal RNA, 57 nt
Filed under: Ips confusus
Lineage: Eukaryota; Metazoa; Arthropoda; Insecta; Coleoptera; Curculionidae
Description: partial 5.8S ribosomal RNA
Source: RNAcentral